This is a non-coding RNA of Meleagris gallopavo (turkey), 671 nucleotides long. NCBI's taxonomy places the organism in Eukaryota, Metazoa, Chordata, Aves, Galliformes, Phasianidae. The record is from RefSeq and is a predicted model, not a curated record.
CUUGUCCCAUGAAACCAUUUUGAUUUCCUGGUAUACUUCUUCCAGCUUCCUGUCUUCAGAAGAAGGCACAUCAGUCUGUACAGACUGUGACUGAAAACUUCAGUUUCACAUCUUUGCAUCCGAACACACCAGUGAUAGACCAUUAUGUCUCACAAGAGAAAAUAUAUCAGAAUUAUAAACCACAAAAUACAUUUAUGAGCUAUUAACCAUGUAGGCACCAGCAGUCUGUACCGGCUCAACUAUUAAUUAUACUCAGUUACUUGAACCUGUCCUUGAUCAAGCAAAUCUCAGACCCUAUGCACAGCAGGACAGCAGAAUACUCUAAACUGACCAAGAAAAGCCUUUCUCCUUCCUGACAUGAAGGGAGCCAGGGGAGCAACCUGUUUAAGUCACUGAUUCCUCUCUUUCUGUAAAUAUCAGUACAGUUGUUAAAACACUUGAAACUUGUAAAGGCUGAGGUGGAGAAAUACACAUUUGAUUUUGAUUUGAGAAUGGGUUCUGAGGUAUGUGCCAUUUCCCCUUACAUCUGUAAUUGAUACAUUUCUGUGACAGAAUAAAAGGCUUGGUGAAAAUGUAUCACUUCUUUGUAGACCACCUUAGCGUCUAGAUUCUCUUUCCAGUCUCAAGAUGGAAACCAGGAAGUGCCACAAGGAGCCCUAAAAAAAAAAAAA